Molecule: ribosomal RNA, 484 nt
Filed under: uncultured bacterium
Lineage: Bacteria
Description: partial 16S ribosomal RNA
Rfam family: Bacterial small subunit ribosomal RNA
Source: RNAcentral
AUUGAACGCUGGCGGCAGGCCUAACACAUGCAAGUCGAGCGGAUGAAGGGAGCUUGCUCCUGGAUUCAGCGGCGGACGGGUGAGUAAUGCCUAGGAAUCUGCCUGGUAGUGGGGGAUAACGUCCGGAAACGGGCGCUAAUACCGCAUACGUCCUGAGGGAGAAAGUGGGGGAUCUUCGGACCUCACGCUAUCAGAUGAGCCUAGGUCGGAUCAGCUAGUUGGUGGGGUAAAGGCCUACCAAGGCGACGAUCCGUAACUGGUCUGAGAGGAUGAUCAGUCACACUGGAACUGAGACACGGUCCAGACUCCUACGGGAGGCAGCAGUGGGGAAUAUUGGACAAUGGGCGAAAGCCUGAUCCAGCCAUGCCGCGUGUGUGAAGAAGGUCUUCGGAUUGUAAAGCACUUUAAGUUGGGGGGAAGGGCAGUAAGUUAAUACCUUGCUGUUUUGACGUUACCAACAGAAUAAGCACCGGCUAACUUCGUG